This 500-nucleotide ribosomal RNA is filed under the name uncultured Actinomycetes bacterium. Its description in RNAcentral is "bacterial SSU rRNA". It matches the Rfam family "Bacterial small subunit ribosomal RNA", at positions 614 to 1113 of the family's 1533-position model. Lineage: Bacteria; Bacillati; Actinomycetota; Actinomycetes. The record is from RNAcentral.
UCGGGUUUUGCGGUGGAUACGGGCCGGCUGGAGGCAGGCAGGGGAGAACGGAAUUCCUGGUGUAGCGGUGAAAUGCGCAGAUAUCAGGAGGAACACCGGUGGCGAAGGCGGUUCUCUGGGCCUGUCCUGACGCUGAGGAGCGAAAGCGUGGGGAGCGAACAGGAUUAGAUACCCUGGUAGUCCACGCUGUAAACGUUGGGCGCUAGGUGUGGGGUUCUUCCACGGGUCCCGUGCCGUAGCUAACGCAUUAAGCGCCCCGCCUGGGGAGUACGGCCGCAAGGCUAAAACUCAAAGGAAUUGACGGGGACCCGCACAAGCGGCGGAGCAUGCGGAUUAAUUCGAUGCAACGCGAAGAACCUUACCAAGGCUUGACAUAUACGAGAACGGGCCAGAAAUGGUCAACUCUUUGGACACUCGUAAACAGGUGGUGCAUGGUUGUCGUCAGCUCGUGUCGUGAGAUGUUGGGUUAAGUCCCGCAACGAGCGCAACCCUCGUUCGAU